AAAGCAUGCUAAAAAUAUUACAUAAGAAAUCCGUUGAAAACGAUAACUUAACCCAUUAGAGAGCAACACGGCUUCAAAACGAAUCAUCAAAGCAAAAUUAGCUAAAAUUUUACCCAUAAGACAUUAAAACAUGUCCAUAGUGAAAAAGAUUUAAAAAGUACAUAGGUUUGAGAUACAUAAACAUUCCAGAAAAUUAAAAGAAGUGGCGGAAUUAAAAACCCUAGUCAUAUUUUUGUUCUUCUUCCUCUGGCCUGAAGAACACUUUAGAAGUGCGACUAGACAAGGAGGCGGUUACGUAGUUGCUAUCUUCAAAUUUUUUAGGUCAAAAGAUAGUGAUAGGAAGCUGGGAAAUUUUGUUACAUAGAAGCCUGUGGUGUUGGAUUCAUAAAAUUUGGCACUGUUGGAUUAGGAAAAGGAAUAUUCGGAUAAGGGUUGUUUUGAACGGAGGGAUAGGUACUAUUUUGAGGCAAAUUGGGUGCAGAAUGAGGAUUAACAUUUUGAGUUUCGACUGUGAAAUUCGAUGAAUUAACACGAGGGUUUGCUGAAUUAUAAGCACAAUGGACAUGCAUAUCAAAGUCACAUUUAGAACAACAAUAAGAAAAGCCAUUUCCUGCGAGAUUGCAUGAAUUGCAGAAAAAUGAAUUAGAGGGAUAUGUUGGAAAAGGCACUAAAGUUAAGGGAUGCAGAGGAUGAGAAGGGUGCUUCAUCGAGCGAGUUGCUCGAAAACAUUGCUCGUGGAGGAAGUAACGACACUGCCAACACACGUAAAUCGAGCCCGACCCUGGAGUUUUGCAACAGGAAAAAUGGAUUUCAGUGCCUUGUGGCAGUUGCUGAAAAACUAGGCCAUGGUUGUGGCUAAAAUGCUUGUAUUCCAUGGCUCUCUCUAGCUUGGAGCGUCCCAGAUGAAUUUUCUUG
Molecule: long non-coding RNA, 915 nt
Filed under: Olea europaea subsp. europaea
Lineage: Eukaryota; Viridiplantae; Streptophyta; Magnoliopsida; Lamiales; Oleaceae
Source: RNAcentral